AACGAACGCUGGCGGCAGGCCUAACACAUGCAAGUCGAGCGAAGUCUUCGGACUUAGCGGCGGACGGGUGAGUAACGCGUGGGAAUAUGCCCUUCUCUACGGAAUAGCCUCGGGAAACUGGGAGUAAUACCGUAUACGCCCUUUGGGGGAAAGAUUUAUCGGAGAAGGAUUAGCCCGCGUUGGAUUAGGUAGUUGGUGGGGUAAUGGCCUACCAAGCCGACGAUCCAUAGCUGGUUUGAGAGGAUGAUCAGCCACACUGGGACUGGGACACGGCCCAGACUCCUACGGGAGGCAGCAGUGGGGAAUCUUAGACAGUGGGCGCAAGCCUGAUCUAGCCAUGCCGCGUGAUUGAUGAAGGCCUUAGGGUUGUAAAGAUCUUUCAGCUGGGAAGAUAAUGACGGUACCAGCAGAAGAAGCCCCGGCUAACUCCGUGCCAGCCGCCGCAGUAA
This 449-nucleotide ribosomal RNA is filed under the name uncultured bacterium. Its description in RNAcentral is "partial 16S ribosomal RNA". It matches the Rfam family "Bacterial small subunit ribosomal RNA", at positions 29 to 523 of the family's 1533-position model. The record is from RNAcentral.